Spironucleus salmonicida is the source of this 83-nucleotide non-coding RNA. The record is from Rfam. NCBI's taxonomy places the organism in Eukaryota, Fornicata, Diplomonadida, Hexamitidae.
GCAUUUUUGGCCGAGUGGUUAAGGCGUAACGUUAAGGCCGUUAUGGGACUUAUCCCGCGUGGGUUCGAGCCCCACAGAAUGCA